Molecule: ribosomal RNA, 482 nt
Filed under: uncultured bacterium
Lineage: Bacteria
Description: partial 16S ribosomal RNA
Rfam family: Bacterial small subunit ribosomal RNA
Source: RNAcentral
GACGAACGCUGGCGGCACGCUUAACACAUGCAAGUCGAACGGAGUUAAUUGGAGCUUGCUUUGAUUAACUUAGUGGCGGACGGGUGAGUAACACGUGAGCAACCUGCCUUUAAGAGAGGAAGAACAGUCUGAAAAGACUGCUAAUACCUCAUAACAUAACGAAGCCGCAUGACUUUGUUAUCAAAGAUUUAUCGCUUAAAGAUGGGCUCGCGUCUGAUUAGCUUGUUGGUGAGGUAACGGCCCACCAAGGCGACGAUCAGUAGCCGUACUGAGAGGUAGAUCGGCCACAUUGGGACUGAGACACGGCCAAGACUCCUACGGGAGGCAGCAGUGGGGAAUAUUGCACAAUGGAGGAAACUCUGAUGCAGCGAUGCCGCGUGAGGGAAGAAGGUUUUCGGAUUGUAAACCUCUGUCUUCAGGGACGAUAAUGACGGUACCUGAGGAGGAAGCUCCGGCUAACUACGUGCCAGCCGCCGCCGUAA